Molecule: long non-coding RNA, 635 nt
Filed under: Hordeum vulgare
Lineage: Eukaryota; Viridiplantae; Streptophyta; Magnoliopsida; Poales; Poaceae
Description: long non-coding RNA (HVUL_LNC001759)
Source: RNAcentral
AUAAGUGCAAGUUGGAUGAAAAUUCUAAUCCUUUGUGCACGUCGUGAUCUACAACCUAUUUUCGCUAGUAGUUUAUCCAUGUUGUUGCAGCAGGCUCAUCUAGGCGUUGUAUUUUGGGGCCUCGCUGGCGUGGAGAGGCAAGACAUGAAUUUCAAACCAAACUAAAAGGUGGGGAUCUGAUGAUUAAGUCACAAAUGCAUAAGUGUUACGCGAAAAAUUUCUUUGGGCUCAUCAUCUAGUCAAGGACUUACAUUACACUUGGUGAGGCAGUGAGAUCAUUGUUGAUACAAUGUUCGAAUCAAAUCUUGUUUGGCAGUCAAAAACAUGGGAUUUUAACUCACUGAUACUACCAAUAACAAAGUAUAAAUGGGUUUGGAACUUGGGAUGUUCGGAGAUGGAGAUAGUUAGCAAUAUUAUGAUAUACCAUGGGAAAGUGUUGUGUGAUCUUAAAUCGUGGUCUUUAAGUCAUAAGACAUUUGUGGUUUUAAAAUGGCAUUGCAAAAGAAAGCCCCACUAAGUUUGAAAGUCGUGUAUGUUACGUAUGUGAUGCAAUCUCAUGUAAACAUAGCAAUGCCUAAGCUCUACCCCGUUCUUGGACUCUAGUACAGAUGAUGGCUUCUUGUGUCAAUUAUGAU